RNAcentral lists this ribosomal RNA (99 nucleotides) under Staphylococcus hyicus. Its description in RNAcentral is "partial 23S ribosomal RNA". It matches the Rfam family "Bacterial large subunit ribosomal RNA", at positions 2826 to 2925 of the family's 2925-position model. The record is from RNAcentral. Lineage: Bacteria; Bacillati; Bacillota; Bacilli; Caryophanales; Staphylococcaceae. RNAcentral also lists the same sequence under 1 other name.
UUAUAAGAUCCCUCAAAGAUGAUGAGGUUAAUAGGUUCGAGGUGGAAGCGUAGCGAUACGUGGAGCUGACGAAUACUAAUCGAUCGAAGACUUAAUCAA